This is a long non-coding RNA of Frankliniella occidentalis (western flower thrips), 2255 nucleotides long. RefSeq lists it as uncharacterized. The transcript has 7 exons. NCBI's taxonomy places the organism in Eukaryota, Metazoa, Arthropoda, Insecta, Thysanoptera, Thripidae. The record is from RefSeq and is a predicted model, not a curated record.
GUCAGUCUUACAGAUGAUAACGCAGGAUGUUUUAGAGGUGUCAGAACCGAGGCGAAGCCGAAUCCGCUGUCUUUUUGAACCUAACCUAACCGUUUACAAGAUAGCAGGAAAAAAAUGCUCAAAUUUGAAUGAGAUUAAAUUAGCCCUACUAAAAUUCGACCUAGAUGCUAUAGACACCAAAUUUUAAAGCGAUAUUCCAUUAAACACAGUUUUACUACAGCUUUCUUUACUUUCAUGGGAAUUUGUGUUCACAUGGAGUUAAGACCAAUUCCAUGUAGCGCAUGGGAUUUCCCUAAUAGAAGCGAAACUCCCAUAACGCAUCCAAAACAGUCCCACAUUGAUCCCUCCCGUAGAUAGGGAUUAGAAUGGGUUUUGGGACUAGUUCCAAAGCCCUUUUUACUCCCAAGCCGCUCUCAGUCCCACUGAAAUCCCUGAGGGUGUAUGGAAGUCUCCUGAAAUCCCUCUCCGCCGCAGCAAACUCCCCUGCGAAAACCCGAAUCCACUGGACAGGAGGCGGAGAGCGGAGCGCCAAGUCUGACGAACGGCAUCCAGUCAAUUUAUUGAUUUGAUUUAUUUUAUCCAAAUAAAUAUUGCUGUUGCUGACGCAGGUGUGAUCAACAAAGGCGGCCUCGAUAAAAUUUGUACGAGUGUUGUCAAGGGCCCUUGGCGCCGUAACGGUAGGCAACCAAUCCUACACCCCUGCAUCGGUGAUGACGUCACGUCGCGCCCACCCGACAUCUGCUCGCUGAGACGACCGCGACGACCGCGCGCCCCGCGGACAGUUCGGACGGCACGAGAGUCGGUUAGCCGCCAAUGUGAAUGUGUACUGCAAAGUAUUGAUGUUGUGGUUCUGCUGGUAAAGCAUGAAUAGGACACCCAUAGUGAACUUUCCCCACUGCAUCCAAGGAGAGAGUAUAAGAGAGUAUGUCGCAGGUUGAUACAGGUGCACUUCCGGCAAGCAUACAUCAUUAUCUAUAUUGAAUACCCGCUACAGGGAUGAUAAUGUUCGGCUGAGGACAUUGCGCCAGGUCACCAAAGAUGUGCCUCAGCUGAAAGAAUCUUUGAGAAAAACUUGUGCUGCAGCAGAGAAAGAUAAUGAAGAGGUCAGGUCACUGAAUAAAGAAUUGAGAGACACAUCCGGCAAGAUUAGGAGACUUUCGGAGUUGGCUGACAACGCAUAAGAACUAUCUAGGAGCAGUCUGCUGCUCGCCCUAGUGUAGGAUUAUAGCUGUGCACCAGAUCUUAUUGAGACACCACCUCAACCACCUGCCAGGCAAGAGCAGAGAUUCAACCGGCAGCUCCUUUCUAUGACCUCCACCUAAUGCCAAUAAUCGGGCAGGCCCAGAGGCAGAAGGAGGUGCUGAUCAAGAUCCCCGGCACAUCCACAAGCUUAGUGUGAAGAUGAAGAGCAACUGCCUGCUGCAGCUGGCUCCAGUUGCACAACAGCCACGAAUCCAAGUUCAGCAGGGUGCUCGCCCAAGAAUAUGAGGAGAGAAUGAUAUCUUCCUUGAUUUUUCUCACAAAAUACUGUGUCAAUACCUUAAUUCUUUUACCAUCCAAAUUGAAAGACAAAAUGAAGAAAGUGUGCUCCAAUGCUGAUCAGAGUUACAAGAAUUUAACUCUGGAAGUGCAGGAGCAAAUACUGGAAGAACAGAGGCAGAAGGACUAAAACCAAAGGCCUGCUUGAUUUUACUCAAUGUUUAACAAUUUAAGUAAAGAAUAGCUAGGAUCUUUUAUAAUUUUAUGACUGAUUAAUGUUAAAUGCUCAAUUAUUGAUAUUCUGAUUAAUGUUUUCUAUCCACUGUUUUUCUAAUUCAUUUUAUAUUCUUCUUUAGUUGUAAAUUACUAUUUGUAAUGCUAAAGUAAUGUUUAAGAUUUUUUUAAACAGCUAAAAACUACCUCACUCUCUAAAUAGGGUUCAUUCCAUCACUCUCAUAAGAGUAAUGUUCCAGUCUCAAACAGGUGUAUUUAUAUUUAUGUAUAUGAAGUCAAAUUUUACGUAACACACUGCUCUGUAAAUUUUCAAAUAAGUACAGUAGAAGCAAAAUAAGGGUAGGGGUCUUUGGACCACCCUGUAUCUGAAAUGUCUUUAUCUCAUACUAAAAAUUAUCAAUAUUUUAUUUAAUACAGCAUGACUUCAUAUUUGAAAAGCUGGUAAAGAAAACAUGGCACUGAAUGUAGAUACUUUAUUUUUUGCUACUAAAGGCCCAGUUGUAUUCUGCAAUGUCCCUCGCUAACUCCCCAUAAUAGUGUUG